AUUGAACGCUGGCGGCAUGCCUUACACAUGCAAGUCGAACGGCAGCGGACCUUCGGGUGCCGGCGAGUGGCGAACGGGUGAGUAAUAUAUCGGAACGUACCUUUCAGUGGGGGAUAACGUAGCGAAAGUUACGCUAAUACCGCAUAUUCUGUGAGCAGGAAAGCAGGGGAUCGCAAGACCUUGCGCUGAUUGAGCGGCCGAUAUCAGAUUAGCUAGUUGGUGAGGUAAGGCUCACCAAGGCGACGAUCUGUAGCGGGUCUGAGAGGAUGAUCCGCCACACUGGAACUGAGACACGGUCCAGACUCCUACGGGAGGCAGCAGUGGGGAAUUUUGGACAAUGGGCGCAAGCCUGAUCCAGCCAUGCCGCGUGAGUGAAGAAGGCC
This 383-nucleotide ribosomal RNA is filed under the name uncultured bacterium. Its description in RNAcentral is "bacterial SSU rRNA". It matches the Rfam family "Bacterial small subunit ribosomal RNA", at positions 30 to 416 of the family's 1533-position model. The record is from RNAcentral.